Molecule: ribosomal RNA, 251 nt
Filed under: uncultured prokaryote
Description: partial 16S ribosomal RNA
Rfam family: Bacterial small subunit ribosomal RNA
Source: RNAcentral
UACGGAGGAUGCAAGCGUUAUCCGGAUUUAUUGGGUUUAAAGGGUGCGCAGGUUGUUUGAUAAGUCAGUGGUGAAAGUCUGUCGCUUAACGGUAGGAAUGCCAUUGAUACUGUUGGACUUGAAUAUGGAUGAGGUAGGCGGAAUGUGUAGUGUAGCGGUGAAAUGCAUAGAUAUUACACAGAACACCGAUUGCGAAGGCAGCUUACUAAUCCAUCAUUGACGCUGAGGCACGAAAGCGUGGGGAUCAAACA